GAUGAACGCUGGCGGCGUGCCUAAUACAUGCAAGUCGAGCGAACAGACGAGGAGCUUGCUCCUCUGACGUUAGCGGCGGACGGGUGAGUAACACGUGGAUAACCUACCUAUAAGACUGGGAUAACUUCGGGAAACCGGAGCUAAUACCGGAUAAUAUAUUGAACCGCAUGGUUCAAUAGUGAAAGACGGUUUUGCUGUCACUUAUAGAUGGAUCCGCGCCGCAUUAGCUAGUUGGUAAGGUAACGGCUUACCAAGGCAACGAUGCGUAGCCGACCUGAGAGGGUGAUCGGCCACACUGGAACUGAGACACGGGCCAGAAGCCUACGGGAGGCAGCAGUAGGGAAGCUUCCGCAAUGGGCGAAAGCCUGACGGAGCAACGCCGCGUGAGUGAUGAAGGUCUUCGGAUCGUAAAACGCUGUUAUUAGGGAAGAACAAAUGUGUAAGUAACUAUGCACGUCUUGACGGUACCGAAUCAGAAAGCCACGGCUAACUACGU
Molecule: ribosomal RNA, 496 nt
Filed under: uncultured bacterium
Lineage: Bacteria
Description: partial 16S ribosomal RNA
Rfam family: Bacterial small subunit ribosomal RNA
Source: RNAcentral